Long non-coding RNA from Sabethes cyaneus, 244 nucleotides. RefSeq lists it as uncharacterized. Lineage: Eukaryota; Metazoa; Arthropoda; Insecta; Diptera; Culicidae. The transcript is spliced from 3 exons. The record is from RefSeq and is a predicted model, not a curated record.
AGAAAUAUUUAGCAGUGAGUUAUUCCCAUUUGGUACGGAUUCUAUAUACAAAGGUAGCGAAAAAGCAUACAUUUACGCUGUGUUACUAAAAGAUUGUGCGUAGAGCAGUUAAAAAACAAAGUAACAAGCUACGAGAGAUACUAAACGUUAAUUUUAUCGUGCACUUGUGGAAUAGUGCUUCAAUAAUAAAUUGGGAUCAAAAUUAAGGAAAUUCUCUCGUUUCCCUUCGUUGAUAGAAUCAACA